GGGUUGUGAGGUUAAGCGACUAAGCGUACACGGUGGAUGCCUUGGCAGUCAGAGGCGAUGAAGGGCGUGCUAAUCUGCGAUAAGCGCCGGUAAGGUGAUAUGAACCGUUAUAACCGGCGAUACCCGAAUGGGGAAACCCAGUGUGACUCGUCACACUAUCAUUAACUGAAUCCAUAGGUUAAUGAGGCGAACCGGGGGAACUGAAACAUCUAAGUACCCCGAGGAAAAGAAAUCAACCGAGAUUCCCCCAGUAGCGGCGAGCGAACGGGGAGGAGCCCAGAGCCUGAAUCAGCAUGUGUGUUAGUGGAAGCGUCUGGAAAGGCGCGCGAUACAGGGUGACAGCCCCGUACACAAAAGCGCAUGUGCUGUGAGCUCGAUGAGUAGGGCGGGACACGUGGUAUCCUGUCUGAAUAUGGGGGGACCAUCCUCCAAGGCUAAAUACUCCUGACUGACCGAUAGUGAACCAGUACCGUGAGG
This 477-nucleotide ribosomal RNA is filed under the name Salmonella enterica. Its description in RNAcentral is "partial 23S ribosomal RNA". It matches the Rfam family "Bacterial large subunit ribosomal RNA", at positions 1 to 508 of the family's 2925-position model. The record is from RNAcentral. Lineage: Bacteria; Pseudomonadati; Pseudomonadota; Gammaproteobacteria; Enterobacterales; Enterobacteriaceae.